RNAcentral lists this transfer RNA (71 nucleotides) under Marmota monax (woodchuck). Its description in RNAcentral is "tRNA.Ala". Lineage: Eukaryota; Metazoa; Chordata; Mammalia; Rodentia; Sciuridae. The record is from RNAcentral.
CUGGGGGUGUAUCAAUGGUAGAGCACAUGCUUAGCAUGCACAGGGCCUGGGUUCCAGCCCCAGUACCCAGA